AAUAUUGGUUUUUGAAGACCCAUCCCCAGCAACGUCAACGUGCAGGAGGAAGGGCCGGUUUGCAUUUCCUUCACUUUCGAAGGUCACGUGGAUCAUUACGUUAAACGUGUCAAAAAUUGUGUAGAGGUUGGGUGAGAAAGGGACGUGUUUCAUAAGUAUCAAGCAGGUACAAUUGCCGCAAGGCUUAAGAGGUGGAGGGAUGAAAAAAAAAUUGUAUAAAAGGAGAGAGAAAAGGCGUUUGAAAUCAGUCGAAUGAUGAUCUCCGACACCGCAAUAACUGCUGCUGCGCACUAUUUUUUACCAACUGCCUUCUUCAUCGUGUUACCUGUUCGUAAUCAUGGUUAACUAAGGCGUCGUGCUGCUGUUGGGCGUUGUACCGUACCGCUGGUUACUGUGCCCCUGGCGAGAUAUCGGGUCCCUUCAUAAAGCCAAAACGAGGAAAUCAGUCAAGUGAUCAUCUCCGACACGGCAACAACUGCUUUCUUUGUCGUGUUAAAACAAUUCGGAAUCAUAUUUAACUAAGAUGUCGUGCUGCUUUGCAUCGUUGAUGGCUGGGUCGACCAAUCGUUUACCCAUGUCUCCUGGGUACUGCGGAUACCAAACCGCAACGCCGCCGUCUUACUACAAAACAGCAUCAAACGCAACGACCAGUUUCUACACCGACGCCCCAAGUACUACACUGAGAUGGUCGAAUGUUCACCAACUGCGUUCUUCGUCGUAUCACUAGUUUUCAAUCAUGGUUGUCUGGUAAACUAUUUCGUCGUGCUGCUGUUGGAUGUCGUAUCGUUGAAGGCUGGGUCGACCACUGGUGUACCGAUGUAUCGUGGGUAUGGUGGAUACCAAACCGCAACGCCGCCGUCUUACUACACAGCAAAAACAUACGCAACAACCGCAUACUACACCACUAUUCACCAGAGUAUAACCCACAACUUAUGAUGCCCCGAACUGCUACACCGAAGCCCCAAAAUAUAACUCUGCCCCGAGUUACACCACGAAGGCAGCGGAGUACUACACCACGAAGGCAGCGGAGUACUACACCACGAAGGCAGCGGAGUACUACACCACCAAGUAUUCUUUUCCAGCCUUUUACACUGAGGUUUCCAAGUAUUUCACCGGAGAGGUCGCACAUUACGCUACAUCCCUCAGCUACUAUACCGAGGCUCCCAAGUACUACACAACCAAGACUCCCAAGUACUACACCACAAACUACGCUCAAUACUCAAUAACCUACGUUGCUCCCACCUACUAUACCGAAGUUUUCUACUUCCCCGAGUUACUACACUACUAAGGUACCUGGAUAUUACAACACAAUCUUCGCUUCUCCAGUUUACUCGUGAAGGCUCCUAUAUACUAGAGCUGAAAUUUCGUUUAGUUUAAUUGUGUUCAAGGUUGUUGGUGAUGUUAAAAUGGUUACUAAUCACUUGGAAUUUUUGUUGAUAUGAAAUGAGGAAAUAUAUUUUUUAAUGG
This is a long non-coding RNA of Daphnia pulicaria, 1467 nucleotides long. RefSeq lists it as uncharacterized. The transcript is spliced from 4 exons. The record is from RefSeq and is a predicted model, not a curated record. NCBI's taxonomy places the organism in Eukaryota, Metazoa, Arthropoda, Branchiopoda, Diplostraca, Daphniidae.